Molecule: microRNA precursor, 145 nt
Filed under: Oryza barthii
Lineage: Eukaryota; Viridiplantae; Streptophyta; Magnoliopsida; Poales; Poaceae
Description: MIR812 microRNA precursor family
Rfam family: MIR812 microRNA precursor family
Source: Rfam by way of RNAcentral
UAACUUUUGACUCUUUGUCUUAUUUAAAUUUUUUUUAUAAUUAGUAUUUUUGUUGUUGUUAGAUGAUAAAACAUAAAUAAUACAUUAUGUGUGACUAUUUUUAAAAAAAAAUAUUUUUUCAAAUAAGACAGAGGGUAGAACGUUG